This 356-nucleotide small nuclear RNA is filed under the name Castor canadensis (American beaver). RNAcentral's name for it is "7SK RNA (ENSCCNG00000012162.1)". It matches the Rfam family "7SK RNA". From Rfam's summary of the family: 7SK was discovered as an abundant small nuclear RNA in the mid-70s but a possible function has only recently been suggested. Two independent studies have found that 7SK RNA binds the CDK9/cyclin T complex (known as elongation factor P-TEFb). Lineage: Eukaryota; Metazoa; Chordata; Mammalia; Rodentia; Castoridae. The record is from Rfam by way of RNAcentral.
GGAUGUGAGGGCUAUCUGAUUGCAUCAUCUGUCACCAUUGAUUGCCAGGAUUGAUUCAGCUGAUGGGCUGGCUAGAUGGGUGUCCCCUUCCUCACUUACUGCUCCAUGUGCAUCCCUCUCAAAGUUGCACACUGGGUUGAAGAGGAGGUUAUUCUCCCACAGAGGAGGACUGUUCUUCCAUCAAGAAUAUAUGAGUAACUGUGCUCCCCUGCUAGAACCUCCAAACAAGCUUAGCUUACUAUAAAACUAUAAUCAUCAAGACAGUGUGGUAUUAGUGAAAGAGUAGACAAAUGAAUGAGUAGAACAGAAUAGAGACUCUAGAAAUAAACUCAUGCAAAUAGAGUCACUUUAUCUUU